GACGAACGCUGGCGGCGUGCCUAACACAUGCAAGUCGAACGGAGUGCACGUUUUCGGAUGUGCACUUAGUGGCGGACGGGUGAGUAAUACAUGAGCAACCUGCCCUGGAGAGGGGGACAACAGCUGGAAACGGCUGCUAAUACCGCAUGAAGUGCGGGGGAGGCAUCUUCCCUGCACCAAAGAUUUAUCGCUCUGGGAUGGGCUCAUGUCUGAUUAGUUAGUUGGUGGGGUAACGGCUCACCAAGACUGCGAUCAGUAGCCGGACUGAGAGGUCGAACGGCCACAUUGGGACUGAGAUACGGCCCAGACUCCUACGGGAGGCAGCAGUGGGGAAUAUUGGGCAAUGGGCGAAAGCCUGACCCAGCAACGCCGCGUGAAGGAAGAAGGCCUUCGGGUUGUAAACUUCUUUUAUGGGGGACGAAGAAGUGACGGUACCUCAUGAAUAAGCCACGGCUAACUACGUG
This 464-nucleotide ribosomal RNA is filed under the name uncultured organism. Its description in RNAcentral is "bacterial SSU rRNA". It matches the Rfam family "Bacterial small subunit ribosomal RNA", at positions 28 to 507 of the family's 1533-position model. The record is from RNAcentral.